ACGAAAAGAUCAUUAAAUGCCUUAGUGUAUGCUUAUACUUCCUGCCUAUAGGUGACUGCAUAGUGACUGGAAUAAGCAUGCAAAAUGUUCUACUAAUUGGGGAGAAUCUUGGUGGCUGUGCAUCUAUUUCUGGAUCAUUGCUUAGGGAGAAUACUGGCUGUCAAUGUGUUUGUUGUCAAGAAAUUGAUAUUUUGGAGAAAACCCAUAAGGCGUAUUGUAUUUAUUGAUGUAUUAGGAAGUUUUUCUGCACUUGGAGUUUUGAUUGCAAUUUGACAAAUGUCUGGAUUGGUAUUCAUUUGAAGCCAAACUUUCUUGUGUUUUUGUAUGUUGUUAGCUACAGUAAAGUGGGUUGUAAGAGAGUAAUUUGUUUUUUUAUUU
Molecule: long non-coding RNA, 378 nt
Organism: Quercus lobata
Lineage: Eukaryota; Viridiplantae; Streptophyta; Magnoliopsida; Fagales; Fagaceae
Exons: 2
Source: RefSeq, a predicted model, not a curated record